UUGAACGCUGGCGGCAGGCCUAACACAUGCAAGUCGAACGGUAGCACAGAGAGCUUGCUCUUGGGUGACGAGUGGCGGACGGGUGAGUAAUGUCUGGGAAACUGCCCGAUGGAGGGGGAUAACUACUGGAAACGGUAGCUAAUACCGCAUAACGUCUUCGGACCAAAGUGGGGGACCUUCGGGCCUCACACCAUCGGAUGUGCCCAGAUGGGAUUAGCUAGUAGGUGGGGUAAUGGCUCACCUAGGCGACGAUCCCUAGCUGGUCUGAGAGGAUGACCAGCCACACUGGAACUGAGACACGGUCCAGACUCCUACGGGAGGCAGCAGUGGGGAAUAUUGCACAAUGGGCGCAAGCCUGAUGCAGCCAUGCCGCGUGUAUGAAGAAGGCCUUCGGGUUGUAAAGUACUUUCAGCGGGGAGGAAGGCGGUGGAGUUAAUAGCUUCAUCGAUUGACGUUACCCGCAGAAGAAGCACCGGCUAACUCCGUGCCAGCAGCCGCGGUAAUACGGAGGGUGCAAGCGUUAAUCGGAAUUACUGGGCGUAAAGCGCACGCAGGCGGUCUGUCAAGUCGGAUGUGAAAUCCCCGGGCUUAACCUGGGAACUGCAUUCGAAACUGGCAGGCUAGAGUCUUGUAGAGGGGGGUAGAAUUCCAGGUGUAGCGGUGAAAUGCGUAGAGAUCUGGAGGAAUACCGGUGGCGAAGGCGGCCCCUGGACAAAGACUGACGCUCAGGUGCGAAAGCGUGGGGAGCAAACAGGAUUAGAUACCCUGGUAGUCCACGCCGUAAACGAUGUCGACUUGGAGGUUGUGCCCUUGAGGCGUGGCUUCCGGAGCUAACGCGUUAAGUCGACCGCCUGGGGAGUACGGCCGCAAGGUUAAAACUCAAAUGAAUUGACGGGGGCCCGCACAAGCGGUGGAGCAUGUGGUUUAAUUCGAUGCAACGCGAAGAACCUUACCUACUCUUGACAUCCAGCGAAUUCGGUAGAGAUACCUUAGUGCCUUCGGGAACGCUGAGACAGGUGCUGCAUGGCUGUCGUCAGCUCGUGUUGUGAAAUGUUGGGUUAAGUCCCGCAACGAGCGCAACCCUUAUCCUUUGUUGCCAGCGGUCCGGCCGGGAACUCAAAGGAGACUGCCAGUGAUAAACUGGAGGAAGGUGGGGAUGACGUCAAGUCAUCAUGGCCCUUACGAGUAGGGCUACACACGUGCUACAAUGGCGCAUACAAAGAGAAGCGACCUCGCGAGAGCAAGCGGACCUCAUAAAGUGCGUCGUAGUCCGGAUUGGAGUCUGCAACUCGACUCCAUGAAGUCGGAAUCGCUAGUAAUCGUAGAUCAGAAUGCUACGGUGAAUACGUUCCCGGGCCUUGUACACACCG
This 1370-nucleotide ribosomal RNA is filed under the name uncultured bacterium. Its description in RNAcentral is "bacterial SSU rRNA". It matches the Rfam family "Bacterial small subunit ribosomal RNA", at positions 29 to 1392 of the family's 1533-position model. The record is from RNAcentral.